RNAcentral lists this ribosomal RNA (759 nucleotides) under Triticum aestivum (bread wheat). RNAcentral describes it as "partial small subunit ribosomal RNA". The record is from RNAcentral. Lineage: Eukaryota; Viridiplantae; Streptophyta; Magnoliopsida; Poales; Poaceae.
AUGACGAUCAUGAGUUGGAACUGUCGAGGCCUCGGGCAACCUCGGACAGUUCAAGAGCUAGUGUGCUUAGUGCACACUUACAAGCCCAAGCUCGUCUUCCUUACUGAAACUCGCUAGAAUAAUAAGUACGUCUCUAAUCUCAAGUGGAGACUUAGUCUCCGUCAUUGUAUCUUGCAUCCCGGUGCUGGGAAAGGCGCCAGCAUUGCCCUCUUUUAUGAUGAGAGUGUGGAAAUAAAAAAGAUUGGCAUGGGGACGAGAUACAUCGAUGUGUUGAUCCGCUUGAACCCUAAUGGUCCCCAAUGGAGAGGCACCUUUGUGUAUGGUGAACCAAAAGCUCAUGAGCAUCAUCUCAUGUGGACGCUGCUGAGACGUAUAAGAGACACUAGCACCCUCCCUUGGCUCAUGUUGGGGGAUUUCAAUGAGACCAUGUGGCAGUCAGAGCAUUUUUCAACAACCAAAAGGUCGGAGAGAUAUAUGGAAAACUUCCGCAAAGUUUUGUCAGAUUGCAACCUUUUUGAUUUGGGUUUCAAAGGACCAGGCUGGACCUACGACAAUAAGCAGCAUGGAAAUAGCAAUGUUCGUGCGAGACUCGAUAGAUGUGUUGCCUCUCUGGAGUGGUCAGAUUUGUUCAGAAACGCUGCGGUGGAACACAUCUGCUCUUCAAGAUCAGAUCAUCUCCCAGUUCUGCUAAGAUUGGGGAGUAGAAAAGAGUGGAGACGGGUUGAUCAGAACAGAGAGGGUUUGUUCAGAUAUGAAUAG